Long non-coding RNA from Harpia harpyja (harpy eagle), 2009 nucleotides. RefSeq lists it as uncharacterized. NCBI's taxonomy places the organism in Eukaryota, Metazoa, Chordata, Aves, Accipitriformes, Accipitridae. The record is from RefSeq and is a predicted model, not a curated record. The transcript is spliced from 3 exons.
UGUAAUAGCAAAUAUGCCUAUGCAUAAGGGGAAAAAAAGACAAUAGUAACAUCCUAUCAGGUCUGCUUAAGUGGUUCACACACACAAACCAGAGCUGAGGGUGCAAACUGAAUUGCCUAGUGAAAAUAAGCAGACUGAGAAACCAGAAGAAUUUCUUUUGCUGGGAAGAGGAGUGAGAUGAAGGCAGAAAAGAUUUCUGAGCUUGUUCAAAAGGAAGCAAGGAAAGUAUUUCCAGCUGAAGAUUUCGGACUUAGAGAUGAAAUCACUGCUGCUAAGCUUGGCUGUUCUCUAAGGGAUUGAAGCAAAGUCGGAAAGGCUGCCGGGUUUGCGUGUCGUAGGCAAAGAAGAGCAGACACAAAGUCAUGUUCAUCCCUGCUCUGUUCAGCACGUAAGAGGACUGCAAUCUGGAUUUCAAAAAAAUCAAUGUCACAUUCUGCUGCGAGGGUCUUGGCAGAUACGUGAAGCAAAUCGCAACCACACUGAAGCUUUACUCAUUCAGGCGACCUUUUGCAAAACAGAUGACAUUGGAGAUGCCCCAGAUAAAAGAAAUCCAAUUCAAUAAAUGUAGCAUGCUCCAUUAUUUGAUGUAGUCCAACCUGAAAUAAACAAGGUCCUGAUUCUCUAUCAUUAAAAAAAUAGUAAUCCCAGAACACUUCUAGCAGGAGAAGAAGCUUGUGUUGAUAAUGUCUCACUUCUGCUUACCUAUGUCAGAGAAAAAUUAAUUCAAGCUGGAACGGAUGCUGGAAAGAAGGUCUAUUAGAAUUAUGAGAAAAAGAAAGGUUAACAGACAGAAGACUAUUCAAAGGGCAUUGUUAGGAAAAGGAGUAUGAAUGUUCUCUAAAAAAACAUCAGGGUGCAGGGUAUGAUAUCAGGAGAGAAGAACUACUUAAAAUAUUGGACAAGUAGGAGAGGUGUUCACUGGAGCACUUGACCAGGAUUCAAAAGACUCAGCUUCAGCUGCAUCCCCAUUGAAAUGUGGAUAGUGACCUGCAGUUUCUUUCUGCCCAAGCAGGUACCCAAAUCCGUAGGUGAGAGGCAUGUUUAUUCUCUCUCCAGUAGUUUCACAUGAAGCGGAACUAGUGUAAGAGAAGAAACAGAGUGUGCCCCACAGUCUUUUACACCAGAAUGCUGCAGCCUCGUGGCUUCCCAGUUAUUGCACCCCCAAAAAUUAUGAAUGCUCCAGCUUCUUCCCAAGAAGAAGUUGAGAAAAGGUUGUUUUAGCAAAAUAUAUCCUUUUACAGAGCCUUCAUCUCCAAUGCAAUAUAACACACUCCGCUUUGGUAAGGCUUGUAUUUCUUUGGGGAUUUCUGGAGCUGGAUGGUCAAAACAUUUUCCUUCAUAAGAGGUAUAACAAGAGAGAACUGAACCAGAAGCUCCCGGUUCAGUAACUGAGUUGUCACAUACAAUCUAUUUCUGUCCUCUUUUUUCUGUGAGAUACUGCCUUCGGCACCGGACCCUGGGAAAGGAUGCAGGAGCCUGAAGGGAGCCAGGCACCUUCCUCUUCGUUAGGGAAAGGCAUCCAGGCUCUAAAGAGGGCAAAAUGUAAGACAGACAUCUCUGCUUUUUUUUUCCUUUUUGGUUAGGUAAGCUAGCUGCCUGGCAGAGCCAGCCAGCUGGCUUGUAUGGAUCCCUUAGGCACGUAUCCGUCUCCAUGGAUUAUACAGAGAACCUAAGCCUGAAAAAACUUCUGUAUUCUACCUUGUUGAUGGCUUCAUGACACCAGUAUGCAAGAUUUAAGAGUAUGAGAAGAAAAAGUUGUGACAGAUGUUAGUCAAGUUGCUUCAUGCUCUACUGGAAGGUCCUCAGAUGACAGAGUGUAGCCUAGUUUAUAAAUUUCUGGAUGCUGAUGGUAGAGAUCAUAUAAGGCCAUGGUUUAAUGGAGGUUCUUGCUUACAUAAAUCUAGCUGUAAAUCUUGCAGUCCAGUUGAGGUUAUUGUACAGAACACAUCUUUAUUCUAUUUUACAAUCUAUCUUAUACUUUCGGUGUGUAUAUACAUAGCCUGUAAAUU